This 407-nucleotide ribosomal RNA is filed under the name uncultured bacterium. Its description in RNAcentral is "bacterial SSU rRNA". It matches the Rfam family "Bacterial small subunit ribosomal RNA", at positions 64 to 507 of the family's 1533-position model. The record is from RNAcentral.
GAACGAGAAGCCACCUUCGGGUGGUGGACAGUGGGAGACGGGUGAGUAACGCGUGGGAACGUGCCUUUCGGUUCGGGAUAACCCAGGGAAACUUGGGCUAAUACCGGAUACGCCCUCCGGGGGAAAGAUUCAUUGCCGAAAGAUCGGCCCGCGUCGGAUUAGCUAGUUGGUGGGGUAAUAGCCUACCAAGGCGACGAUCCGUAACUGGUCUGAGAGGAUGACCAGCCACACUGGGACUGAGACACGGCCCAGACUCCUACGGGAGGCAGCAGUGGGGAAUAUUGGACAAUGGGCGCAAGCCUGAUCCAGCCAUGCCGCGUGGGUGAAGAAGGCCUUAGGGUUGUAAACCCCUUUCAGCGGGGACGAUAAUGACGGUACCCGCAGAAGAAGUCCCGGCUAACUCCGUG